RNAcentral lists this ribosomal RNA (420 nucleotides) under uncultured bacterium. Its description in RNAcentral is "bacterial SSU rRNA". It matches the Rfam family "Bacterial small subunit ribosomal RNA", at positions 362 to 775 of the family's 1533-position model. The record is from RNAcentral.
UCUUGCGCAAUGGGCGGAAGCCUGACGCAGCAACGCCGCGUGCGGGAAGAAGGCCUUCGGGUCGUAAACCGCUUUCAGGGGGGACGAAGCUUCCGGGGUUAAUAGCCCACGGGGUGACGGUACCCUCAGAAGAAGGACCGGCUAACUACGUGCCAGCAGCCGCGGUGAUACGUAGGGUCCUAGCGUUGUCCGGAAUCAUUGGGCGUAAAGAGCGUGUAGGCGGCUUGAUAGGUCCCGUGUUAAAGCCUGCGGCUCAACCGCAGAAUCGCACGGGAAACCAUCUGGCUCGAGUCCGGAAGAGGAGAGCGGAAUUCCUGGUGUAGCGGUGAAAUGCGCAGAUAUCAGGAAGAACACCCGUGGCGAAGGCGGCUCUCUGGGACGGUACUGACGCUGAGACGCGAAAGCGUGGGGAGCGAACAG